Molecule: long non-coding RNA, 344 nt
Filed under: Mytilus galloprovincialis (Mediterranean mussel)
Lineage: Eukaryota; Metazoa; Mollusca; Bivalvia; Mytilida; Mytilidae
Source: RNAcentral
UGAUCAAAUUUAGCUCUUGUUGUUCUUACUGGUAUUUCGCUCACAUUUCAAAUAAAUAAUCAAGUUAUUUUUUUCUCAAUUCCAGACCGGGGUGCCUGUUCAUCAAUGUAACGAAUCUUAAUGUAAUUCACCGACUGUUGUUCAAUGAUACUCUUCAAAAAGAUAUUAAAAAAAUAGCAACUGUUCAUUAUAGUUCGCAUGGAAGGAUUCUGGACAAUUUGGCGUAUCAAUAUAAAUUAAAUUUAUUGACGUAAUGAUUACUUCUGAAUAGAAUUACAGGUAGGCUAUAGGUAAAAAGCGCAAAUGUCCGGUCAAAUUAAUACAGGUGAAUCAAAAUUUAAAGC